GGUAGUAGGCCUAACACAUGCAAGUCGAACGGCAGCACAGGAGAGCUUGCUCUCUGGGUGGCGAGUGGCGGACGGGUGAGGAAUACAUCGGAAUCUACUCUGUCGUGGGGGAUAACGUAGGGAAACUUACGCUAAUACCGCAUACGACCUACGGGUGAAAGCAGGGGAUCUUCGGACCUUGCGCGAUUGAAUGAGCCGAUGUCGGAUUAGCUAGUUGGCGGGGUAAAGGCCCACCAAGGCGACGAUCCUGUAGCUGGUCUGAGAGGAUGAUCAGCCACACUGGAACUGAGACACGGUCCAGACUCCUACGGGAGGCAGCAUGUGGGGAAUAUUGGACAAUGGGCGCAAGCCUGAUCCAGCCAUACCGCGUGGGUGAAGAAGGCCUUCGGGUUGUAAAGCCCUUUUGUUGGGAAAGAAAUCCAGCCGGCUAAUACCUGGUUGGGAUGACGGUACCCAAAGAAUAAGCACCGGCUAACUUCGUGCCAGCAGCCGCGGUAAUACGAAGGGUGCAAGCGUUACUCGGACAUUUACUGGGGCGUUAAAGCGUGCGUAC
RNAcentral lists this ribosomal RNA (553 nucleotides) under uncultured bacterium. Its description in RNAcentral is "bacterial SSU rRNA". It matches the Rfam family "Bacterial small subunit ribosomal RNA", at positions 38 to 574 of the family's 1533-position model. The record is from RNAcentral.